GAUGAACGCUGGCGGCGUGCCUAAUACAUGCAAGUCGAGCGAACGGACGAGAAGCUUGCUUCUCUGAUGUUAGCGGCGGACGGGUGAGUAACACGUGGAUAACCUACCUAUAAGACUGGGAUAACUUCGGGAAACCGGAGCUAAUACCGGAUAAUAUUUUGAACCGCAUGGUUCAAAAGUGAAAGACGGUCUUGCUGUCACUUAUAGAUGGAUCCGCGCUGCAUUAGCUAGUUGGUAAGGUAACGGCUUACCAAGGCAACGAUGCAUAGCCGACCUGAGAGGGUGAUCGGCCACACUGGAACUGAGACACGGUCCAGACUCCUACGGGAGGCAGCAGUAGGGAAUCUUCCGCAAUGGGCGAAAGCCUGACGGAGCAACGCCGCGUGAGUGAUGAAGGUCUUCGGAUCGUAAAACUCUGUUAUUAGGGAAGAACAUAUAUGUAAGUAACUGUGCACAUCUUGACGGUACCUAAUCAGAAAGCCACGGCUAACUACGUGCCAGCAGCCGCGGUAAUACGUAGGUGGCAAGCGUUAUCCGGAAUUAUUGGGCGUAAAGCGCGCGUAGGCGGUUUUUUAAGUCUGAUGUGAAAGCCCACGGCUCAACCGUGGAGGGUCAUUGGAAACUGGAAAACUUGAGUGCAGAAGAGGAAAGUGGAAUUCCAUGUGUAGCGGUGAAAUGCGCAGAGAUAUGGAGGAACACCAGUGGCGAAGGCGACUUUCUGGUCUGUAACUGACGCUGAUGUGCGAAAGCGUGGGGAUCAAACAGGAUUAGAUACCCUGGUAGUCCACGCCGUAAACGAUGAGUGCUAAGUGUUAGGGGGUUUCCGCCCCUUAGUGCUGCAGCUAACGCAUUAAGCACUCCGCCUGGGGAGUACGACCGCAAGGUUGAAACUCAAAGGAAUUGACGGGGGCCCGCACAAGCGGUGGAGCAUGUGGUUUAAUUCGAAGCAACGCGAAGAACCUUACCAAAUCUUGACAUCCUUUGACAACUCUAGAGAUAGAGCUUUCCCCUUCGGGGGACAAAGUGACAGGUGGUGCAUGGUUGUCGUCAGCUCGUGUCGUGAGAUGUUGGGUUAAGUCCCGCAACGAGCGCAACCCUUAAGCUUAGUUGCCAUCAUUAAGUUGGGCACUCUAAGUUGACUGCCGGUGACAAACCGGAGGAAGGUGGGGAUGACGUCAAAUCAUCAUGCCCCUUAUGAUUUGGGCUACACACGUGCUACAAUGGACAAUACAAAGGGCAGCGAAACCGCGAGGUCAAGCAAAUCCCAUAAAGUUGUUCUCAGUUCGGAUUGUAGUCUGCAACUCGACUACAUGAAGCUGGAAUCGCUAGUAAUCGUAGAUCAGCAUGCUACGGUGAAUACGUUCCCGGGUCU
This 1372-nucleotide ribosomal RNA is filed under the name uncultured bacterium. RNAcentral's name for it is "bacterial SSU rRNA". It matches the Rfam family "Bacterial small subunit ribosomal RNA", at positions 28 to 1381 of the family's 1533-position model. The record is from RNAcentral.